This 428-nucleotide long non-coding RNA is filed under the name Sinocyclocheilus grahami. RNAcentral's name for it is "lncRNA (ENSSGRG00000036351.1)". Lineage: Eukaryota; Metazoa; Chordata; Actinopteri; Cypriniformes; Cyprinidae. The record is from RNAcentral.
UUUACACAAAUUAUUUUUACACUUCUGUAUACACAGAUGAUGUUGGUCUUGGUCUUAUUGGUUUGGACUUGGAGCUCCUGAACUGUCAACCAAAAACUGUCUCUUCUGGAUUUACUGAGGAAGGACAUUGGUGAAAUGAAGAGUGAUCUGGAGUCCACUCAAAAUCAAAUUACACUUUUACGAAUGGACUACAGAACAAUCAAAGAGCCGAAGACUGUCGGUGUAAAGGUAAAACCAGCAGUCUCCAAGGAAAAGGUCAAAACAGCAAAAAAAGACCAUGAUGCUCUGGUGAACGUUACGAAGAUGACAGCACAUAUUAAAGCAGAACGUGACGCACUGAAAAACAUCAGUAAACCAGCACCUGCAAAGAAAGGUAUGUCGGAAAGCUAUGUAACAGCAGCUAUAUUAUACAAAUAUGCAAAUGUUAA